UGUUGGAGGAACUAAAAGCACAAUCAGCUUGAUGUUGAGGAGAAGGGCUGUGCAGCAGAGAGGCUGUUUAGUUUCUUCAUUCUACUGCAGUGGAAGAACAUUGUUCAUCUGCUGUCUGUUUGGCUUCAACUCCUCCAAAGACAUGUUGCUUUACCUCUUUUGGUUUUUCUCUCACUUCAUAGCCAUGGGCUCCAUGAACAGCAUAAAGCCAGAAAGUCCUGAAGAAGUUGUUGAAGAGAGAAGAACCAUCAGCCUGACCUGUAAAUAUGAGGGUGCUAUCAGCAAUAUCCAGUGGUACCAACAAUACCAGAGAUCCAGACCAGAGUUCCUGCUCUACAUCACAGAGGGAGGAUUGAUUCAUCGAACUCUUUCUGAUUUCACAGCUCACAUUAACAAGACAGAGAAACGUGUAGAUCUGGAGAUCAUCUCAGCUAAAGUGACUGACUCUGCUGUGUACUACUGUGCUCUGCAGCCCACAGUGACAGGAAACACCAAAACUCUGUACAAAAACCUUUGGAGCAAAGACAACACAAUACUCCACAACAUCCACUAGAGGGAGUCACACACCACCUAUUCUCACAUUACAUGCUGAUCUUACCCAAAUCCAAUCUUUUGGCCACUAAGGGACUCAAAUCUGAUUUUAUCAAGCAAGUACUGAUUUCCAAAUCUGAUUUUACACAGUAAUAGGUCACUUGCAUAUGUGGCCCCUAGAUCCGCUUCAUAUCUGAUCUCUGCUCCUGUCAGAACAGUCCAACUGGAAUUCAUGUUUUUUUAUUUUCUUCUUUUACAUCUCACCACCACAAUCACUGUCCCUGCAGAAACGUCAAAAACCAACUAUAACUUAACUUAAUCAUAACUUUUCCCUAUCAGUAUGCAAAUCAAAACGAAAAUCAACGACAUAUGCAUUAAUUUUUUAGCAAACUAUUUUUAAUUUCUAUUCAAGUUGGAAGGGAAGAUAAAGCAAAGUGCACUUUACAGGAGUUCUCUAUUCACCCACAAAGUACAACACAAACCAUAAAAAAAAACAUCAUAGAAAGUACAACAGCACAAUAGUAUAAUCGAAUGUUUUCUUACCUUACAGUUCUCUCAAGUUGCCUUUUGCUUCAAACUCUAUCUCAAUGGGCUUCUUUAAGGUGAAAAUGAGCCGGAAUGUUGAAAUGUGAAUUCCUUGUGUUUCUGGUUUGCGAAUCUGAUCCGAAAAAAUGCAAAAUGGACGGAAAAUGAUCAACUUUCUAGAGUCUUCAUCUUCUCAUCACUCUUCAGAAAACAUCCAGAAUUAUUCUUCCUGGCAGACC
Non-coding RNA from Seriola aureovittata, 1295 nucleotides. Lineage: Eukaryota; Metazoa; Chordata; Actinopteri; Carangiformes; Carangidae. The record is from the annotation of a RefSeq genome assembly.